CUGAGAAAGAUCUAGAGGAAUUGAAAUUUGUUCAUGACACUUAAAGCUUGGCCAGGCCUUUGAGAACAUCUAAAAGUGCACUUAAUUCAUAGUCAUUCAGUGGUCAAACCAGGGGAUACCUGGUCUGUUUACUGGAGGCUGAUUUGCUGUAGCUGACAGUGACACAUCAAUAUCCUUUUUUGUUAAAAUGAAAACGUAUUUGUUGUAUUUGGAUGUUUUACUAGUAUCUAAAAUACCAAAAAACAUAUUUCAUGUGUCUUACUAAAAUAUCAAGUAAUAGAAAAAACCCUCUCUAGUUUUAUUAAAUCAACUUGAAAAUGGCAAACACAGGAAAACAUUCUUGGGCUAUCAGAAAGGCAACAUUUUCAUGCCAAAGGAAGACUAGUUAGUUAAGCCCAGUUAGUGUAGUAGCACUCCAGAAAAGGACUGAAAGAAUAAUGGUAUAACUAAAUAAAAAAGAUAAUCAGAAACAUUGGAUUUUAGCAAAAAGCUCUUAUGGCUUAAAAAGUCAUAAAAAUGAGUGAAAACCGUUUCUCAGCAUCUAUUUUAGAUGCCCCCCC
RNAcentral lists this long non-coding RNA (560 nucleotides) under Bos taurus (domestic cattle). RNAcentral describes it as "long non-coding RNA NONBTAT000300". The record is from RNAcentral. Lineage: Eukaryota; Metazoa; Chordata; Mammalia; Artiodactyla; Bovidae.